CCUACGGGAGGCUGCAGUGGGGAAUAUUGCACAAUGGGGGAAACCCUGAUGCAGCGACGCCGCGUGCGUGAGGAAGUAUUUCGGUUUGUAAAGCGCUAUCAGCAGGGACGAAAAUGACGGUACCUGACCGAGAAGCCCCGGCUAACUACGUGCCAGCAGCCGCGGUAAUACGUAGGGGGCAAGCGUUAUCCGGAUUUACUGGGGGUAAAGGGAGCGUAGGCGGGGGGGCAAGUUGGGUGUCAAAACUACGGGCUCAACCGGGAGUCGCACUCAGAACUGCAGCGCUUGAGUGAAGUAGAGGCAGGCGGAAUUCCUAGUGUAGCGGUGAAAUGCGUAGAUAUUAGGAGGAACACCAGUGGCGAAGGCAGCCUGCUGGGCUUUUACUGACGCUGAGGCUCGAAAGUGUGGGGAGCAAACAGGAUUAGAUACCCCUGUAGUC
Molecule: ribosomal RNA, 439 nt
Filed under: uncultured bacterium
Lineage: Bacteria
Description: partial 16S ribosomal RNA
Rfam family: Bacterial small subunit ribosomal RNA
Source: RNAcentral